Strigops habroptila (Kakapo) is the source of this 1588-nucleotide long non-coding RNA. The record is from Ensembl. Lineage: Eukaryota; Metazoa; Chordata; Aves; Psittaciformes; Psittacidae.
CACUGUGAAACUACAACAGAUUUUAAAAAAUGGAAAGUGCGUAUAGUUCCCUCUCCCCCUUUUGUCUCCUCCUUUCCACAAAGCAAGAUCCAAAAGUCCUUUUGCUGGCUGGUCAGUCAGGAGGAGGAAACAAUGGGUGAAAAAAAAAACUAAAAAUCUUUUAACCAUGACAUUGACACCCAAAGAUUCUAAAGCACUGGAGAUUUUCUACACGACUGGUUUUUGCAAGUCUCUCACCUCAAAUCCGGUUUUGUUGCUUUUCAUCUUCAUUUUUAACUUCAGAAAACAGACAUGUUUCUCCCAAGAGAACAAUUAAAUGUGUUUUCUUUCAAAAUCUAAAGGGCAUGGUGAGCAGGCUGUGUGUUCAGCAGGCUACUUUAAUCAAUGGAACCCAUCCAGCCUGCCAGUGCUGACCAAAUUGCAAUUUACAUUGGUAGAGAAUACUUUUGAAAUGGGAAGGUGUGGAAUAUAAUACCAUUUUUGGAAUAACAUAGUAUGCAGGGUGUUGUGUGGUUUAAUGGUUUUCUAACAAGCUUUUUGAAAAAGCUUUGAAAUAUUAAAAAAACCCAAUAAGACUGUAAAUUACAGCAAUAUCUGCUUGAACAGAGAAAGCCAUGCUAUGUAUCAGGACUUCUGAAGUCCACAUAAUGCAUCUCAUCUAAGCUUUAUUGAAAGGAUUCAAGAGGGGCUAGAUUUUGCAAGGCACUUUAUCUACCCCCUAGCCCUCUAUGCUCAGGUGUCUUUUCUCAAAAAUACAAAAGAAUUUGAGCCAGAUGACAUUGAAUACCUCUUUUUUUUUUUUUUUUUUUUAGCUAAACACAAUUUUAGCUUCAUUAGAGAGACUUUUUUGUUUGUUUAAAACUGGUUUUAAUAUGAGUUUUAUGAGCUCACCUAUCUUCUAAUGUUAAAGAAGCAUAUUUUUGCAUAUGAUGAAUAAAGUAGAAUGCAUUUUUUUCUACAUGGCAGAAGAGACAAAAGAUCUCAGAACAGUUAGGAAGAAAACUAAUUAUGUUACAGGCUGGGAAAUUUAGCAUACCAGUAGUACCACUCUCCAUUUCAAGAGAAAUAGAUACAGGAAAAAAAUGCAGUCUAUUUCUCAGCCUGAGUAAGCCCCACAGAUUGCUGAGGUUAACAGUUUCUUAGCUGCUUAAUUUCAUAGUUAUUCUUUGCAAGUCUUACCGGGAGGUUUUAACAUUAUGCAAAGAGGCAGUGCCUCCACCAAGUACACAUGGACUAUUCACUCCCAUUGCCUGAGAGAGCCACAAAGAACUAGAGGAAAGAAAUGUUGCUGUGCUUAUCAUACAUGAGCUCAGUUUAUUUGUGCUAUAAAUAAAAGUAGAUCUUGAUAGCGUAAUUACAUUUCUCAGCAUUAUCCUCUGCCAUUUGCUUCAGAAAGGAAAAAGAAAAGGGAGAAAAAGUUGGCUUCACUCUAAUUUGUAAUCAAAAUGACUACACUUAAAACAUAAUUUUAUUUCUCUGAUUUCAUUUCCUGUGCAGCUUUGUGGGGUAAAUAGAUAAUAUUAUACUAAAUCUGCAGGCAGAUAAUUCUCACAUCCCCUGCACUGUCAUUGUCUAGAUCACUUUGCCC